CCCCUAGAUGUUCUGGGCCGCACGCGCGCUACACUGAACAGUUCAACAAGUCUUAACCUUGGCCGAUAGGUCUGGGUAAUCUUUGAACGCUGUUCGUGAUUGGGAUAGACCUUUGCAAUUAUGGGUCUUCAACGAGGAAUUCCUAGUAAACGCAAGUCAUCAGCUUGCAUUGAUUACGUCCCUGCCCUUUGUACACACCGUCCGUCGCACCUACCGAUUGAAUGGUCCGGUGAAAUCUCGGGACGGCGGCUUGGUCGCUUGCGUCCGACUGCUGAAACUUGAUUAAACCAUAUCAUUUAGAGGAAGGUGAAGUCGUAACA
RNAcentral lists this ribosomal RNA (320 nucleotides) under uncultured eukaryote. RNAcentral's name for it is "partial 18S ribosomal RNA". It matches the Rfam family "Eukaryotic small subunit ribosomal RNA", at positions 1470 to 1796 of the family's 1831-position model. The record is from RNAcentral.